This 328-nucleotide ribosomal RNA is filed under the name uncultured soil bacterium. RNAcentral describes it as "bacterial SSU rRNA". It matches the Rfam family "Bacterial small subunit ribosomal RNA", at positions 26 to 352 of the family's 1533-position model. The record is from RNAcentral.
AGAUUGAACGCUGGCGGCAUGCCUUACACAUGCAAGUCGAACGGCAGCACGGGAGCAAUCCUGGUGGCGAGUGGCGAACGGGUGAGUAAUACAUCGGAACGUGCCCAAUCGUGGGGGAUAACGCAGCGAAAGCUGUGCUAAUACCGCAUAAGAUCUACGGAUGAAAGCAGGGGAUCGCAAGACCUUGCGCGAAUGGAGCGGCCGAUGGCAGAUUAGGUAGUUGGUGAGGUAAAGGCUCACCAAGCCUUCGAUCUGUAGCUGGUCUGAGAGGACGACCAGCCACACUGGGGACUGAGACGACGGCCCAGACCUCCGUACGGGGAGCAGC